CCUCGAUAGUGGCUAAGUGGUAUAGCGUCUCACUAGUAAUGAGAAGAUCACUGGUUCGAUUCCAGUAAGGAGCA
This 74-nucleotide transfer RNA is filed under the name Cyphellophora europaea CBS 101466. RNAcentral's name for it is "tRNA-Thr". The stretch from base 10 to 66 matches the Rfam family "tRNA", at positions 8 to 63 of the family's 71-position model. Rfam says of the family: Transfer RNA (tRNA) molecules are approximately 80 nucleotides in length. Their secondary structure includes four short double-helical elements and three loops (D, anti-codon, and T loops). The record is from RNAcentral. Lineage: Eukaryota; Fungi; Ascomycota; Eurotiomycetes; Chaetothyriales; Cyphellophoraceae.